UACGUAGGGUGCGAGCGUUAAUCGGAAUUACUGGGCGUAAAGCGUGCGCAGGCGGUUAUUUAAGUCAGGUGUGAAAGCCCUGGGCUUAACCUAGGAAUUGCGCUUGAGACUGGAUAGCUUGGAGUGCGGCAGAGGGAGGUGGAAUUCCACGUGUAGCAGUGAAAUGCGUAGAGAUGUGGAGGAACACCAGUGGCGAAGGCGGCCCGCUGGGCAGUGGCUGACGCUGAGGCGCGACAGCGUGGGGAGCAAACAGG
This 254-nucleotide ribosomal RNA is filed under the name uncultured bacterium. RNAcentral describes it as "partial 16S ribosomal RNA". It matches the Rfam family "Bacterial small subunit ribosomal RNA", at positions 524 to 776 of the family's 1533-position model. The record is from RNAcentral.